AUACCAAUUUGCUUAUGUAGUCCUGUUAAACUCAAUAGCUGUUUGAUUGACAUUAUUAGUAUAUCCUGAAGGAUAAAAGGACAUAAAUAUUUUCUUUUACCUUAAUUAUUUAACCAUCAUGUUCCUGCAUCCUGCAUUCUGAAUCUUGUUAUUAAAAAUAGAGGCAUAAUGGUCCUAUGAAGCUUGGGUGUUCUUGCAAAACUAAAAGCCUAUAUAUAUAUAUCUACUUGUAAGAAUCAACAGUUGUUGUUCAUUUUUCUUCAAAAUGAAUAUAUAAACAAUUAAAUGAACUAAGUGAUAGCAAGGUGGAUA
This 312-nucleotide long non-coding RNA is filed under the name Elaeis guineensis (African oil palm). Its description in RNAcentral is "long non-coding RNA (EGUI_LNC026448)". The record is from RNAcentral. Lineage: Eukaryota; Viridiplantae; Streptophyta; Magnoliopsida; Arecales; Arecaceae.